AAAAACCUUGUUAGUAUAUAACCUGUAAGUAAGUUUGUUUUCUAGUACCAGCGUGUUAGGUAAGCAUAAUGUUGGCAAGUCAGUAUA
Alosa sapidissima (American shad) is the source of this 87-nucleotide long non-coding RNA. RefSeq lists it as uncharacterized. The transcript has 3 exons. NCBI's taxonomy places the organism in Eukaryota, Metazoa, Chordata, Actinopteri, Clupeiformes, Clupeidae. The record is from RefSeq and is a predicted model, not a curated record.